UGUGAACUCGAAGAGUAGGGCGGGACACGUGGUAUCCUGUCUGAAUAUGGGGGGACCAUCCUCCAAGGCUAAAUACUCCUGACUGACCGAUAGUGAACCAGUACCGUGAGGGAAAGGCGAAAAGAACCCCGGCGAGGGGAGUGAAAAAGAACCUGAAACCGUGUACGUACAAGCAGUGGGAGCACCUUUAUGGUGUGACUGCGUACCUUUUGUAUAAUGGGUCAGCGACUUAUAUUCUGUAGCAAGGUUAACCGUAUAGGGGAGCCGCAGGGAAACCGAGUCUUAACUGGGCGUUAAGUUGCAGGGUAUAGACCCGAAACCCGGUGAUCUAGCCAUGGGCAGGUU
This 345-nucleotide ribosomal RNA is filed under the name Klebsiella quasipneumoniae subsp. similipneumoniae. Its description in RNAcentral is "partial 23S ribosomal RNA". It matches the Rfam family "Bacterial large subunit ribosomal RNA", at positions 398 to 746 of the family's 2925-position model. Lineage: Bacteria; Pseudomonadati; Pseudomonadota; Gammaproteobacteria; Enterobacterales; Enterobacteriaceae. The record is from RNAcentral.